CGCCGAUAAUGAUUAAUAGGGAUAGUCGGGGGCAUCAGUAUUCAAUUGUCAGAGGUGAAAUUCUUGGAUUUAUUCGAAGACUAACUACUGCGAAAGCAUUUGCCAAGGAUGUUUUCAUUAAUCAGUGAACGAAAGUUAGGGGAUCGAAGACGAUCAGAUACCGUCGUAGUCUUAACCAUAAACUAUGCCGACUAGGGAUCGGGCGAUGUUAUCUUUUUGACUCGCUCGGCACCUUACGAGAAAUCAAAGUUUUUGGGUUCUGGGGGGAGUAUGGUCGCAAGGCUGAAACUUAAAGAAAUUGACGGAAGGGCACCACCAGGAGUGGAGCCUGCGGCUUAAUUUGACUCAACACGGGGAAACUCACCAGGUCCAGACACAAUAAGGAUUGACAGAUUGAGAGCUCUUUCUUGAUUUUGUGGGUGGUGGUGCAUGGCCGUUCUUAGUUGGUGGAGUGAUUUGUCUGCUUAAUUGCGAUAACGAACGAGACCUUAACCUGCUAAGUAGCCCGUAUUGCUUUGGCAGUACGCUGGCUUCUUAGA
RNAcentral lists this ribosomal RNA (539 nucleotides) under uncultured fungus. Its description in RNAcentral is "SSU rRNA". It matches the Rfam family "Eukaryotic small subunit ribosomal RNA", at positions 857 to 1415 of the family's 1831-position model. Lineage: Eukaryota; Fungi. The record is from RNAcentral.